AACGGAGGCGCUCAAAGGUUCUCUCAGUACGGUCGGAAAUCGUACGUAGAGUGUAAAGGCAAAAGAGAGCUUGAUUGCAAGACAUACAGGUCGAGCAAGGAUGAAAAUCGGACUUAGUGAUCCGGUGGUUCUGCGUGGAAGGGCCAUCGCUCAACGGAUAAAAGCUACCCUGGGGAUAACAGGCUUAUCUCCCCCAAGAGUCCACAUCGACGGGGAGGUUUGGCACCUCGAUGUCGGCUCAUCACAUCCUGGGGCUGUAGUAGGUCCCAAGGGUUGGGCUGUUCGCCCAUUAAAGUGGUACGCGAGCUGGGUUCAGAACGUCGUGAGACAGUUCGGUCCCUAUCCGUCGCAGGCGUAGGAAAUUUGAGAAGACCUGUCCUUAGUACGAGAGGACCGGGAUGGACGUACCUCUGGUGUACCAGUUGUCCUGCCAAGGGCAUGGCUGGGUAGCUAUGUACGGAAUGGAUAAGCGCUGAAAGCAUCUAAGCGCGAAGCCAACUUCAAGAUAAGAUUUCCCACCG
Molecule: ribosomal RNA, 521 nt
Filed under: Clostridioides difficile
Lineage: Bacteria; Bacillati; Bacillota; Clostridia; Peptostreptococcales; Peptostreptococcaceae
Description: partial 23S ribosomal RNA
Rfam family: Bacterial large subunit ribosomal RNA
Source: RNAcentral